GAUGAACGCUGGCGGCGUGCCUAACACAUGCAAGUCGAGCGGAAAGGCGAUGAGCUUGUGCCGUGGUCGAGAGGCGAGGGGGUGAGUAACACGUGAGUAACCUGUACUUAACUGUGUGAUAACUUCACGAAACUCGGGCGCAUAUAGGAUAUAAUCUACUGAUCCGCAGGGGUGAUUGGUAAAUUACGGCGGUUGGGUAUGGACUCGAGGCUUAUCAGCUUGUUGGUGGGGUAGUGGCUGACCAAGGCUUUGACGGGUAGCCGGCCUGAGAGGGUGACCGGCCACAUUGGGACUGAGAGACGGCCCAGACUCCUACGGGAGGCAGCAGUGGGGAAUAUUGCACAAUGGGCGGAAGCCUGAUGCAGCAACGCCGCGUGCGGGAUGACGGCCUUCGGGUUGUAAACCGCUUUCGCCUGUGACGAAGCGUGAGUGACGGUAAUGGGUAAAGAAGCACCGGCUAACUACGUG
RNAcentral lists this ribosomal RNA (468 nucleotides) under uncultured bacterium. Its description in RNAcentral is "partial 16S ribosomal RNA". It matches the Rfam family "Bacterial small subunit ribosomal RNA", at positions 28 to 507 of the family's 1533-position model. The record is from RNAcentral.